Molecule: ribosomal RNA, 437 nt
Filed under: uncultured bacterium
Lineage: Bacteria
Description: bacterial SSU rRNA
Rfam family: Bacterial small subunit ribosomal RNA
Source: RNAcentral
UGGAGGCAGCAGUAAGGAAUAUUGGACAAUGGGGGAAACCCUGAUCCAGCCAUGCCGCGUGAGUGAUGAAGGCCCUAGGGUUGUAAAGCUCUUUCGGCGGGGAAGAUAAUGACGGUACCCGCAGAAGAAGCCCCGGCUAACUUCGUGCCAGCAGCCGCGGUAAUACGAAGGGGGCUAGCGUUGCUCGGAAUCACUGGGCGUAAAGCGCACGUAGGCGGAUCCUUAAGUCAGGGGUGAAAUCCUGGAGCUCAACUCCAGAACUGCCUUUGAUACUGAGGACCUUGAGUUCGGGAGAGGUGAGUGGAACUGCGAGUGUAGAGGUGAAAUUCGUAGAUAUUCGCAAGAACACCAGUGGCGAAGGCGGCUCACUGGCCCGAUACUGACGCUGAGGUGCGAAAGCGUGGGGAGCAAACAGGAUUAGAAACCCGUGUAGUCCU